This 674-nucleotide ribosomal RNA is filed under the name uncultured bacterium. RNAcentral's name for it is "bacterial SSU rRNA". It matches the Rfam family "Bacterial small subunit ribosomal RNA", at positions 143 to 803 of the family's 1533-position model. The record is from RNAcentral.
AUAACAUUUGGAAACAGAUGCUAAUACCGCAUAACAAUUUGAAUCGCAUGAUUCAAAUUUAAAAGAUGGCUUCGGCUAUCACUUUGGGAUGGACCUGCGGCGCAUUAGCUUGUUGGUAGGGUAACGGCCUACCAAGGCUGUGAUGCGUAGCCGAGUUGAGAGACUGAUCGGCCACAAUGGAACUGAGACACGGUCCAUACUCCUACGGGAGGCAGCAGUAGGGAAUCUUCCACAAUGGGCGCAAGCCUGAUGGAGCAACACCGCGUGAGUGAAGAAGGGUUUCGGCUCGUAAAGCUCUGUUGUUAGAGAAGAACGUGCGUGAGAGCAACUGUUCACGCAGUGACGGUAUCUAACCAGAAAGUCACGGCUAACUACGUGCCAGCAGCCGCGGUAAUACGUAGGUGGCAAGCGUUAUCCGGAUUUAUUGGGCGUAAAGCGAGCGCAGGCGGUUUGAUAAGUCUGAUGUGAAAGCCUUUGGCUUAACCAAAGAAGUGCAUCGGAAACUGUCAGACUUGAGUGCAGAAGAGGACGGUGGAACUCCAUGUGUAGCGGUGGAAUGCGUAGAUAUAUGGAAGAACACCAGUGGCGAAGGCGGCUGUCUGGUCUGCAACUGACGCUGAGGCUCGAAAGCAUGGGUAGCGAACAGGAUUAGAUACCCUGGUAGUCCAUGCCGU